GAUGAAGAACGCAGCGAAAUGCGAUACGUAAUGUGAAUUGCAGAAUUCAGUGAAUCAUCGAAUCUUUGAACGCAUAUUGCGCUCUCUGGUAUUCCGGAGAGCAUGCUUGUUUGAGUAUCAGUAAACACCUCAACUCCCUUUUCUUUUUUGAAAUUGGAGCUGGACUUGAGUGAUCCCAACGCUUUCUUCCAAGAAAGUGGCGGGUUGCUUGAAAUGCAGGUGCAGCUGAACUUUUCUCUGAGCUAUAAGCAUAUCUAUUUAGUCUGCCUAAAAAACAGAUUAUUACCUUUGCUGCAGCUAACAUAAAGGAGAUUAGUUCUUGUGCUGACUGAUGCAGGAUUCACAAAGACAGCUUCGGCCGACUUUGUAAACUCGAUCUCAAAUCAAGUAAGACUACCCGCUGAACUUAAGCAUAUCAAUAAGCGGAGGA
This 430-nucleotide unclassified non-coding RNA is filed under the name soil metagenome. RNAcentral's name for it is "partial contains 5.8S ribosomal RNA, internal transcribed spacer 2, and large subunit ribosomal RNA". The stretch from base 1 to 120 matches the Rfam family "5.8S ribosomal RNA", at positions 35 to 154 of the family's 154-position model. The record is from RNAcentral.